UUGGAAACUGUCGAACUUGAGUGCAGUAGAGGUAAGUGGAACUCCAUGUGUAGCGGUGGAAUGCGUAGAUAUAUGGAAGAACACCAGUGGCGAAGGCGGCUUACUGGACUGCAACUGACGUUGAGGCUCGAAAGUGUGGGUAGCAAACAGGAUUAGAUACCCUGGUAGUCCAUACCGUAAACGAUGAACACUAGGUGUUAGAGGGUUUCCGCCCUUUAGUGCCGAAGCUAACGCAUUAAGUGUUCCGCCUGGGGAGUACGACCGCAAGGUUGAAACUCAAAGGAAUUGACGGGGACCCGCACAAGCGG
This 308-nucleotide ribosomal RNA is filed under the name uncultured bacterium. RNAcentral's name for it is "bacterial SSU rRNA". It matches the Rfam family "Bacterial small subunit ribosomal RNA", at positions 626 to 932 of the family's 1533-position model. The record is from RNAcentral.